This 448-nucleotide ribosomal RNA is filed under the name uncultured soil bacterium. RNAcentral describes it as "bacterial SSU rRNA". It matches the Rfam family "Bacterial small subunit ribosomal RNA", at positions 26 to 529 of the family's 1533-position model. The record is from RNAcentral.
AGAACGAACGCUGGCGGCAUGCCUAAUACAUGCAAGUCGAACGAGACCUUCGGGUCUAGUGGCGCACGGGUGCGUAACGCGUGGGAAUCUACCCUUGGGUUCGGAAUAACAGUUGGAAACGACUGCUAAUACCGGAUGAUGACGAAAGUCCAAAGAUUUAUCGCCCAGGGAUGAGCCCGCGUAGGAUUAGCUAGUUGGUGAGGCAAAGGCUCACCAAGGCUACGAUCCUUAGCUGGUCUGAGAGGAUGAUCAGCCACACUGGGACUGAGACACGGCCCAGACUCCUACGGGAGGCAGCAGUAGGGAAUAUUGGACAAUGGGGGCAACCCUGAUCCAGCAAUGCCGCGUGAGUGAUGAAGGCCUUAGGUGUAAAGCUCUUUUACCCGAGAUGAUAAUGACAGUAUCGGAGAAUAAGCUCCGGCUAACGUCCGUGCCCAGCCAAGCCGAC